AAUCAAAUAUACACUUUCGUCAACGAUUGUCUUUGAGAUUCGAUUUCGAACGAAUUUAUAUCCCGUUUGCACGCUUUUUAUACAUCUCGAUCGGCGAAAAAAGAAGAGAUGGAAGAGAAAGAAGAAAAAAAGGAAAAAGAACGAAACGGUGCGCGGUGCAAAAGAAAAAGAGGAAAAGGAUCGACGGUCGACACGUGGCACGGUAACACACGAUUUCCUGUCCCCAAAAACCGAUGACGGGCGAGAGAAGAGUGGUGAGCUUGUUCUCGCUUACAUUUUUGUCUUCCAUCCGGUCGGGUCGAAAUAACCCCCGUGCCCAGAGGGUGGUAUCUCGCGCGCGCGAAAAAGCCAGAGCGGACACAAUGGUCCUGGCUCCGUACCUACGUGUCCAGGGACGUACGUGCGAACCAACGCCGCCCCUUCCCGCUCCAACGCAAUAAAAUUCCGCGCCGGCUUUCGUUCCGCGCAAUAAUGGCAGCGAGAGAGAAAAAAAUCGAACGCUUUCGAGCGAGACAGCGCCAAUGGGACAAAGAGAAAGGUGUGCGCGUGUUCGAGAGAGAGGGAGGGAGGGUCAACGAGAAAUAUGAAUACGUUCACGGUGAUUCGGUUAAUUUUUAACACGAAACAGAGGGCAGUUCGCCGCUGGCAUAUUUGGUCCGGUUCGAUGGCUCGCUUCCAUUGCGCCGUUGGUUGGAAAUCUGCGAGAAUAGAGAGAGAGAGAGAGAGAGAGAAA
Apis florea (little honeybee) is the source of this 733-nucleotide long non-coding RNA. NCBI's taxonomy places the organism in Eukaryota, Metazoa, Arthropoda, Insecta, Hymenoptera, Apidae. The record is from RefSeq and is a predicted model, not a curated record.